Molecule: ribosomal RNA, 468 nt
Filed under: uncultured bacterium
Lineage: Bacteria
Description: partial 16S ribosomal RNA
Rfam family: Bacterial small subunit ribosomal RNA
Source: RNAcentral
GACGAACGCUGGCGGCGUGCUUAACACAUGCAAGUCGAACGGAAAGGCCCUGCUUUUGUGGGGUGCUCGAGUGGCGAACGGGUGAGUAACACGUGAGUAACCUGCCCUUGACUUUGGGAUAACUUCAGGAAACUGGGGCUAAUACCGGAUAGGAGCUCCUGCUGCAUGGUGGGGGUUGGAAAGUUUCGGCGGUUGGGGAUGGACUGGCGGCUUAUCAGCUUGUUGGUGGGGUAGUGGCUUACCAAGGCUUUGACGGGUAGCCGGCCUGAGAGGGUGACCGGCCACACUAGGAUUGAGAUGCGGCCCAGACUCCUACGGGAGGCAGGGGUGGGGUAUGUUGCACAAUGGGCGGAAGCAUGAUGCAGCAACGCCGCGUGGGGGAUAACGGCAUGCGCGUUGUAAACCGCUAUCGUCUGUGACGAAGCGUUAGUGACGGUAAUGGGUAAAGAAGCACCGGCUAACUACGUG